AGCCAUCCGAAUCCGUGCAGAUGUUUAGUCAGUCACCAACCCAUUAGGGCUGAUUAGACUUCCAAGAUAUGUGAAGUC
Molecule: microRNA precursor, 78 nt
Filed under: Schistosoma margrebowiei
Lineage: Eukaryota; Metazoa; Platyhelminthes; Trematoda; Strigeidida; Schistosomatidae
Description: mir-3492 microRNA precursor family
Rfam family: mir-3492 microRNA precursor family
Source: Rfam by way of RNAcentral